UAGAUCUAAACAAAAACCAUUUCAAACAACAAAAACCUCUCAACUUCUUUAACAAAAACCUCUCAACUUCUUUAACAAAAACCUCUCAACUUCUUUAACCAUUUGGCUGAAAACCAACACCUCAAACGAUGUCGAUGGCAUCCAUCCACCGCCAUACCGCCGACGACGGACCAUCCUCCGUCGUGACCUCUGGUCACCGCCACAAUUUUCGAUUCCAACAAAGAGGCUUCCACCACCAUCACUGUCGACGUGUGCCACCAUCGUAACUUCUCUUAUGACCGAACACCUCCAGUAAACGAACAACAACUCCGAAGCACCACCUACGACUGUUGUAUCUGAUGGUUUGUUAGGAUAUUUAUGAAUCUGAUGACUUUCCUUUACAGUUUGUGCUUAUAUUUGGUUCGAUUGUAUUGAUGUGUGCUUCGUCUCUGACACCUAACCUUGCUAGAACAUCUGAAAAACUCGCAUUCAUCUUUUCUCUUUGAUCUUCGGUGCUCUAACUCCGACAACCUCUUGAGGUCAGAUGUUUGUUUCUAUGCAAGUAAUUGUUAAGAUCGAGAUGAGCUCCACUCUAGUUGUUUCUGAUUUUGAUCGCUCAACAGAUUUAUAGAAACAUAUUUGAUUGAGAGUGUAGAGAGAACGAAGCCGAUCCUGUAGUCGCAGAUCAUGUAGUCGUUGCGAUAGAUCUAUGUUGAAAGUCAAGGAAAAACAAGAGAAAAACUUUGAUUUCGAUGGAGUAAUGAAGUUCUGGAAAGCUUUGAUUGUUAUGGAGAUGCUAAAAAAAUUGAUAAGGUACAUAUAACCAUAUAAUUUAAUCAUUUUUUUUGUUUUGUUUGAAUAUUACUUUUUACUUUUUGAUUUGUUUGGAUAACAAAUCGAGAUUAUCCAAGGCUUUUCUUGCUAGCUGUCAUAUAGCUUCUUUACAUUACUUUUUUUGCUAGCUAGCAUAUAGCUUCUUUACAUUUAUUUAUUUAGUCUGACAUAUCA
Molecule: long non-coding RNA, 987 nt
Filed under: Lactuca sativa (garden lettuce)
Lineage: Eukaryota; Viridiplantae; Streptophyta; Magnoliopsida; Asterales; Asteraceae
Description: long non-coding RNA (LSAT_LNC005610)
Source: RNAcentral